GCCAGUGUGGUAUAGUGGUUAAGAGCGGUAGACUCAUAAUCUGGUGAAUCGGGUUCGAUUCCCCGCUCAUCCACAUGUAGCU
This 82-nucleotide transfer RNA is filed under the name Podarcis lilfordi (Lilford's wall lizard). Its description in RNAcentral is "tRNA.Met". The record is from RNAcentral. Lineage: Eukaryota; Metazoa; Chordata; Lepidosauria; Squamata; Lacertidae.